UAGGACUUCCGGUCCCAAAUGGAAAAAGAAAAGGGGUGUAAAACCUAUCUGAAAUUAUAUAACCAAGUUUCAAGCUCCUGUUUCAAGGAUGGCUUAGCCCUAAGCAAAACAAGCGCUAGUUCUUCCUUGAAAAUCAUUUUCCAUCGAAACAGACUGUUGCCCCCUCCACGUUGCCUCGCAGGGCGACGGGAGGGGCUCCUCCACCACCCCUAGAAAAACCACCGCAAACCUCCAAGUCUGGCCGCCGCCAUUAGCAGCCAGCACCGAGGUGGCGGCGGCGGCCCGCAGCGAAGCUGAAGUCACCCCUCCCCCGCGCUCGUAGCUCCUUCCUCCUCUCCCGUUCUCUCCAUCCUUCCUCCCCCAAUUUGUUUAGUCUCAGAUCUGCUCAAAGGCAUCUUACCU
RNAcentral lists this long non-coding RNA (402 nucleotides) under Setaria viridis. Its description in RNAcentral is "long non-coding RNA (SVIR_LNC005906)". The record is from RNAcentral. Lineage: Eukaryota; Viridiplantae; Streptophyta; Magnoliopsida; Poales; Poaceae.